GAUGAACGCUGGCGGCGUGCUUAACACAUGCAAGUUGAACGAAGUGGCGGAUGGGCGAGUAACACGUGAGGAACCUGCCUUUCCCAGGGGAAUAACACUGGGAAACCAGUGCUAAUACCGCAUAGUGAAAGAUGGCCUCGCGCGUGAUUCGCUAGUAGGUGAGGUAACGGCUCACCUGGGUGAUGAUCAGUAGCCGGACUGACGGAUGCUCGGCCGCAAUGGGACUGGGACACGGCCCAGACUCCUACGGGAGGCAGCAGUGGGGAAUAUUGGGCAAUGGCGCAAGCCUGACCCAGAACCGCAGCGGGAAGGAAGACGUUCUUCGGAUUGUAAACUUCUUUAGACAGGGCCGCGUUACCUGUAGAAUAAGCCACGGCUAACUACGUGCCAGCAGCCGCGGUAAUAC
RNAcentral lists this ribosomal RNA (406 nucleotides) under uncultured bacterium. RNAcentral's name for it is "partial 16S ribosomal RNA". It matches the Rfam family "Bacterial small subunit ribosomal RNA", at positions 28 to 526 of the family's 1533-position model. The record is from RNAcentral.